RNAcentral lists this ribosomal RNA (355 nucleotides) under uncultured Microlunatus sp. RNAcentral's name for it is "bacterial SSU rRNA". It matches the Rfam family "Bacterial small subunit ribosomal RNA", at positions 505 to 858 of the family's 1533-position model. The record is from RNAcentral. Lineage: Bacteria; Bacillati; Actinomycetota; Actinomycetes; Propionibacteriales; Propionibacteriaceae.
GUGCCAGCCGCUGCGGUGAUACGUAGGGUGCGAGCGUUGUCCGGAAUUAUUGGGUGUAAAGGGCUCGUAGGCGGUCUGUUGCGUCGGAAGUGAAAACUCAGGGCUUAACCCUGAGCCUGCUUCCGAUACGGGCAGACUAGAGGUAUGCAGGGGAGAAUGGAAUUCCUGGUGGAGCGGUGGAAUGCGCAGAUAUCAGGAGGAACACCAGUGGCGAAGGCGGUUCUCUGGGCAUUACCUGACGCUGAGGAGCGAAAGCGUGGGAGCAAACAGGCUUAGAUACCCUGGUAGUCCACGCCGUAAACGGUGGCACUAGGUGUGGGACUCAUUCCACGAGUUCCGUGCCGAAGCCUAACGC